UUUUUUUUUUUUUGAGAUGGAGUCUUGCCCUGUUGCCAGGCUGGACUGCAGUGGAUGACCUUGGCUCCCUGCAACCUCUGUCUCCUGGGUUACAGCGAUUCUCCUGCCUCAGCCUCCCGAGUAGCUGGGACUACAGGUACGCACCACCAUGCCCAGCUAAUUUUUGUAUUUUUAGUAGAGACGAGGUUUCACCGUGUUAGCCAGGAUGGUCUUGAUCUCUUGACCUCGUGAUCUGCCCGCCUUGGCCUCCCAAAGUGCUGGGAUUACAGGUGUGAGCCACUGUGCGUGGCCUCCUCUUUUAUUAACAGGAGCUUUCUCUGCCCCAUUCCCCUCAUUUAUAAAUGGAAGUUUGAUGUGGCUGGGAAUCAAAUCAUGGAAGGUGUCCUUCCAACUUAAGAUUUUGAUAUUCUUUGUGUAAAAACUGUUGAAUUCUGACUCUUGCUUGGGUCUUUCCAAUUCCUGAGACCACUGCUUUGCUUAUUACCUCUGUAAUUCUUUCAUGGAGCUGGACAUUUCUUCUUUUGCUCACUAUACUCAGGGCCCAGCACUAAGGCUUGCCUCUCUCCUACUCUAGGCAGUAGCGGCCCAAUUACAGAGCUUCAGAGAGGAGCUGGGCGGGUCCCAGUGCUCUGCUGUGCCAUAUGCAUGAGCAGUGCUUCUUUGUGUAGUCUUCAGUUGACUGUAGAAGAUGACUGGAUAAGAUCAUUGGGAAGUACUGGGUAAGUCACAUAGAACAAGGAUUUGAUUUAAACUGACUAGCUUAAAUAUCACUCCUGAGAUUCCCCAAUAGGUUACAGCAUUUAGUUUCUGCUAAUCCAUAGCAAAACAUAGUACGUUAACUGAGUGCCAAAGAACUGUGAUCUUGCUUCUGCUCUAGACUCAGUGAAAGACCAUGGAGAGCAGACACUUAGAAUGUGAGAGGAUGGAAACAAAUUACAUUUGGGAAGAUUAAUCAGUGUAAAAACAAAGGGAUUUAGGAUUUUCAAGGAUUAAAAUGUGUAGCCAGGUGCAGUGGCCCUCACCUGUAAUCCCAGCACUUUGGGAGGCCUAGGUGGGAGGAUUGCUUGAAGCCAGGGGUUUGAGACCUGCCUGGGCAAUAUAGCAAGACCAUGUCUGUAUAUAUAAAAAAGUGUAUUUUAUACACAUGUUGUAGAAAGAAUGUUUAGUUUUAGAUUGAUUUCCCUUACAGGAAUGCCCCACCAGUUCCAAAAAAUAUUUCCCAACCACUUUCUUCUUUUCCUCUUGGCCAGUGAAUUCAUCUCAAUACAAGGUCUAAGUGUCCACAGCUCAUCUCUUUCAGCUGUGUGGAAACAGCCAGUGCAUGGAAACAGAAGGGAGCCUCUGUGUCUCUUAGGCAUUGUGUUUGAUAAAUGGACAACUUUAACUUACUUGUUGCCCAGCCUUCCAGUUUGUCUCUUACCAAACCAAAAGUGCUGCCUUCUAUUAGAGUCCAAAUAUUAGGCUGAAACACUUAUAUCAGCAGCAACUCAGGAGCCUAGGACAGCUUUUGACGGUAUAAUUAGUAACCAGCCAGCUUGCCCUCUAGGAUAAAGGAAAAGCAGAGACUCGUGUGAAAGUGCUCUUAGGCAAUGAGCUCUGCCUCCAGGAUAAUUAAGCUGCCACUUGUAUCUGCAAGGCUGACUUACCGAGCUUAACCCGUGACCAACCUGCAUCCUUUCACCAAUUCAAAACACAUAAAAUGAGCCACCAGUGUUUUACGAAGUUGAAUAAAGCAUUAAGAGAUUAGUCUGCCCUAGGGCACUGGAAGGGGCAGGUCCUGAAAGGACAUGGUGUGCUCCUGGGCCGGUUCGAACUGAGGCUGUGCUGUUUGGAAACUGCUGUGUUUGUUGUGUGAAGCACAAUCUGUGUACUUGCUUUCCUUGGUCCUGGACCUUUGCUGCCGAAGCUGUGGAGUUGUCCUGGUCUGCUCACUCCAGCCUCCCUGACUGAUGCUGACAAUGGCAACUCCCCUACGGCUCACAGCCCUGCAGUCACCUUACCUUCUUGUAGGCCCCGAGGAGCGGUGUCAUGUUCUCGUUCUGCCUCCUCCCAUCCCUCUUCAGAUUCAGUUUAGAAGAGGUCUUUUUGAGGUGGAAAACCUGACAUUGAUUUUCUGCUGCUGCUUUCUCAAUUAUCUCAUUUUAUUGGGUUUUGGUUGGUUUGAGUCUAUUCUUGGGCAAGUCACUUCCAUAUAUUGAUACUCUUAGAAAAACAUCCUUUUAUUUCAAUCUUAAUACUUUUGUUUGGAUUU
RNAcentral lists this long non-coding RNA (2251 nucleotides) under Macaca fascicularis (crab-eating macaque). RNAcentral describes it as "lncRNA (ENSMFAG00000060725.1)". The record is from RNAcentral. Lineage: Eukaryota; Metazoa; Chordata; Mammalia; Primates; Cercopithecidae.